This 253-nucleotide ribosomal RNA is filed under the name uncultured bacterium. Its description in RNAcentral is "partial 16S ribosomal RNA". It matches the Rfam family "Bacterial small subunit ribosomal RNA", at positions 524 to 776 of the family's 1533-position model. The record is from RNAcentral.
UACAGAGGGUGCGAGCGUUGUCCGGAAUCACUGGGCGUAAAGGGCGCGUAGGCGGUGAUCUAAGCGUGCGGUGAAAGCUCGGGGCUCAACCCUGAGUCGGCCGUGCGAACUGGGUCACUGGAGCACGGUAGAGGCCAAUGGAAUUCCGGGUGUAGCGGUGGAAUGCGUAGAGAUCCGGAAGAACACCGGUGGCGAAGGCGGUUGGCUGGGCCGUAGCUGACGCUGAGGCGCGACAGCGUGGGGAGCAAACAGG